GGUUUAGCUCAGCGGCAUAAGCACCUGCCUUGAAAGCAGGUGGUCGUGAGUUCGAUCCCCAGUACCA
This is a non-coding RNA of Cavia porcellus (domestic guinea pig), 67 nucleotides long. NCBI's taxonomy places the organism in Eukaryota, Metazoa, Chordata, Mammalia, Rodentia, Caviidae. The record is from Rfam.